Molecule: long non-coding RNA, 6093 nt
Filed under: Lynx pardinus (Iberian lynx)
Lineage: Eukaryota; Metazoa; Chordata; Mammalia; Carnivora; Felidae
Source: RNAcentral
GGAAGGAAAAUGGAAGGGAAGCCGUGCCCUGAAGCCGGGGACACAAAAGGCAGCCCGUGGCAGCAGAUGUCAGGGGGGAAGGAUACGAAUGGUGAAUGGGAAGGAGUUGAAACUAUCAGCCACAGAGAUAAGACAAGUCAAAAAGGAACAGAAAACCACAACAUGGGACGCGGAUCUGAGAAGACAGUGAAUGCGAAAAUGGAAAGAACAGGUGAAGCGUGGAUCGGUGGGGAAAUUAGGUGCUAAAAUGGAAAAAAACAAUAACUCUUUUUAGAAUAUACUUUGAAAUACUUAAGGGUCUUUGGGUUACUUGGCCAAGAAUGAUGAAUAGAAAUGACUUUAAUGGAGCUAGACAGAAUACAUUAUUAAUUAGCUUUACUGGUAUAGCAUGUGCUUGAAUUAAUUUGGACAAGUAGAGAAAUGAAAUAAUAUAUAAUUUGUAUGAUUCAUGAAAGUCACAAGGAAGGAAUUGUUUUUGGUUACUAUAAUUAACACAGACUUACUGACGUGUAUGUACUUAGGUCAAUCAGUGAGUUUUUGUCAAUAUUUUUGUUAGUAAUGAGACUGAACUAUGGACUCUAUGGUGUGCCGAAACCAGUAUGAACAACAAAAUGGGAAGGAAAGGAGUGGUUUCUUUUUGAGGCCUUCUGUACUGCUGCAUUUCCAUGUUCUUUGGCUCUGAAUGCAAAUUCUAAAACCUAAAAUAAUUGGGAAUAUCUGGCCAUGGUCAAAAUGGAAUUAUAAAAACUAAAAUGCUUUACUAUGAUUACUGAGAGCUCAGCCAACUUUUAGAGACAGAUGAAUAUCCAUGUAUCUAUUUUGUGUACAGUCAGCAAUCCAGAAGGCAGCAGGGUCCCAUGGACCAUCUACCCAUGGUCCACUCAUGGCCUAUCAGGGCUGCUGGAAACGGGUAGUCCGUUUUCUGGACGAGUCACAUGAAGGAGGGUGGGGGAGAAGAUAGGAUCAUUGACCAUAAACCCAUUAGUUUUGUUUCAUUCCAGUAUUACUUUUGGCUUUUGCUGGCACAAGUGAAAUUAAGAAAGAUAUCCCAAAAAAUAUUAGGUCUGAAAUAAUUCAAUUGAAAAAUGGGCUAAGGACUUGAACGGACAUUUUCCCAACGAAGAUGUAUGGUAGUCAGUCAACAGGUUUAUGAAAAAGUACUCAAUGUAACUUAUCACCAGCAAGAUGCCGAUCAAAAUCACUAUGAGAUAUCACAUCCCAUCUGUCCAGAUGGCUAUUGUCACAAAUAAAACAAAACUCAAAAGACAACAAAUGCCGGUGAGGAUGUGGAGAAAUCAGAAUUCCUGCAUACUACUGGUAGGAAUACAAAAAAGCAGACCCUAUAGAAAAUAGUACGGAAAUUUCUCAAAAAAACAAAACAAAACAACUACCAUAUGAGUCAGCAAUCCCAUUUUGGGAUAUUUAUCCAAAAGAAUUGAAAUUAGGAUCUGGAAGAGAUACUGGCACUUCUUUAUUCCCUGCAACACUAUUUACAAUCUCCAAGAUGUGGAAACAACCUAAAUACCCACUGGAAGAGAAUGUGGUAUAUAGGUACACGGAUACUAUACAGCCUUGAAAAAGAAGGAAAUUCUGCAACAUAUGGCAAAAUGGAGAAACCUCGAGAACAUCACGCUAAGUGAAACAAGCCAGUCACAGAAAAACAAAUACUUCAUUAUUCCACCUAUAUGAAGUACUUACAACACAGGAAAAUUAUUAGAAUCAAGUUGUGGAAUGGUGGUUGGCAGGGGCUGAGGGGAGGGGGAAACAGGCAUAAAGUUUCAGUCAAGCGAGAUGAAUGCAUCCUAGAGAUCUGACCCACAACAUGUACACUUAAAAAUGUGUUAAGAAGGUAGAUGUCAUGUGAAGUGUUCUUACCACAAUCAAAUAAAGUCAAACCAAUAAGAACAAAACAAAAAAGGUAAGAAUCAAGCUUUUAAAUUGAUGCUACUUUUUUUUAAAACUCAAGACGUCCAAAUAUAUUUUAGAAAUAAAGAAACAUUUAUUUAAGGAGUGCCAAAAAAAAAAAAAAAUCAGAUCUGAGAUUUCGUAUGGUUAGCUACAAAUAUCUGCCAGUCUUCUGACACCAGUGAGCUAAGUGGCUGGUUUCUGUGGCCACUUUUGGAUUCCGUGGUACACUAAUCUAUUCUCUGGUUUCAAGGCCUUUGGGAACUCUUUUAGGUGGUCACAUCAGGUCCAGUAUAGACUGUGGGUAAGGUCACCCUAAAAUAUGGAGAAAACUGACCAUGGCUUUGAACUUGUUUAGGAAGCUCCGAAAAUCCCAAGAGAGGGAGGUGAUAAUAGGUUUUGUGAAUGAUGCAUGAUCUCUGGAAUGAGCUUGCUCCCUCAGUAGCUCGGGACCGGUUGGUCCCCUGAACAACGAAAGACCCUGGAUGGGGACUCCAGCAAAUGUGGACCCCUCUCCAGUGUUGUCCUCACUAUGGCUGUUGGCUAGGCAGCAACGACUUGGGGAGGGAAGGUGGCACAGUCCCUUCUCAGAAUUUUGGGAGCAGAGCAUCCAUGAUAGAGGAAGUAAUACGAAUACAGUAAAUACACAUCCCCGGUAGAAGACCUGUGUUGCACCUUCCACUUGUUGGUCAGGGACAGGCACCUAAGCCACAGAGAGGGUGGGAGAUUGUUUCAAGUUUGCAGCCAGUCAGAGCGGAAGCCUUCUGUCCCAAGAACGGCGUUCCUUAUGCACAACCAGAAAUACUCCAUGCCUUCGAAGGACAAAAAGGGACCAAUAAGAUAAUGCCCGUAACCCCCGACCCCUGCCUUGACCCUUGGCAGGUGGCCACUCUAUGCUGCACUUUACUUACAACUUCUCUUUUCAGACGCAGCCUCCUCUCCUCCUCCCGGGACAGUAGGUAGUGAAAGGGACACUCCCUGUAGAGAAUGACCAGCAAGGCUUUUCAUCAGAGCACAGGGAAACUGUGUUCCAAACAACUCCACACUUGUCUUAAUAGGCACGACCUUUACUCCUGGGACACAUUUUUCACUGUCCUGUCUGCCGUGUAGCCUGAAUCAAAACAGUGAUUCAUUAGAGUUUUUCACAUUCUCUCUUUCAUUACUAGACGGACCCUUGGGUCAUUUAUAGGUUGGACCUUGGCCCCUCUCUUCCUUUAUUUAUAAAAAAGCAUGAACGCUCUCCCUGUUCAUAGGGAGGCCUGGCUCACUUUCGUCCCAUACCCUUUUAUUCACAAGGUCAGUAUGUUUGUCUUCUCUCCUCACAGAGAUUACUUUUUACGUAUCUGAUGAGAAGGACUCCCAAAGAAGACCUAUAAGGGCCCUUGUCCCUCUGUGGCUUGUUAAAUCCCGGGUCGCCUUGUCUUUUGCCUGCCCACCUCUCCUGUGGCCUAAAGUGUUUUUCUCUGGGAAGUAAAAUUACGGGGAGUGGGUUUUGGCUCAGUGUAAGAUGAGCCAUUAGCAACUGGAGGCAUCUGAAAAAUAAGGGGGCUGUUUCCAGUAGUGGAAUCUUCUUGGCCUCUGCAGUUUGUGUACCAAUCACUGACCACAUGUCAGAGACAACGUUAGGAAGGAUUAGAGAAUCAGAUUGGGGUGGGUCAAGAGUGGCAAACCUCUGAGUAUUUUUUAUGCUAGGGAUAAGGAAAGAGAACAGAAGUGAGACAGUCUCGCAGGGCUGGAGGAUCCCUCAGGUUCCUUUCCACCUUAUUCUAUAUCUACACGCAUAUACCCAGACAAGUUUUAGACAAAACAGCUUGUUUCUUAAGAGUUUUGACCUGGAGCGAUCUUUAGGGAUCAUUUUUCUCAGCUUUUCUUUCUUUCUUUUUUUUUUUUUUUGAAUAGAAGAAAAUUAGGUUCCAAAAGGUGAAGUAUUUUUUUUUUCUAACCACAGCUAGUUCUGUUGUUUAUUAAACACACACACACACACACACACACACACACACACACACACACCAGACAUGCUCUAUGGGUUACAGAAUACUCAGAACAUUUAUGGCAUGAAGGUGUUCUAAAUUUCCCUCCUGACUGCGGCUGGAAAUUCCUACUUCUCCAUCUGCUAUUACAAUUACGGUUUGGGAAAAGGCCUAAUUUUGCCCCCCCUGUAGAACACCCUGAUUCAUGAGACAUGGAAAGAAACUGGUGGUGGCAGCGUGGGUUUCUGCUAAGACCUCAGAAGCAUCGUCCAAGAGGAAAUAGCGUAGCAACAGGCAGGAAGGUUGUGAGUUGUUUCCAUGGUGUGAUUUAAGGGGGUACCAUGGCUACCAUUUCCUAUACCGGUGCCAGUCACCUUUCUGUAAGAAUAGUUUCAUUGCUUUGGGCCUUGAAGGCAUUUGUAGUCUUAAGAGUUCUCUGUCCAAAAAUCACAGUUAAUGCAUCUAAUUCUAUCAGUUAAUGGUUAAGAUAACCAUUAGCACUUUGAAUACCUCCUAGAUACUGGGCCCAUAAUUACCUCCUUUAAUUUCCUACUUGAUACAUACUUGAGAGGAAAUCUCUGCAGGGAAUGGUCUACAAACUAGGAAACUGGGGGUCGGGUACCAGGAUGAUUAGGAAGGGGAGUUUUGGAUUCAGAUGGAAUCUAUUAUCUGCUGUUGAUUAGUACUGUGACCUUAGGAAAGUUAGCUAGCUGGCGUAUGUAAUCCCAAAUUUCUUUAUUUGUAAAAUAGGGGAAAUAAUAACACCCCUUGGGUUUAUUUUUUAACCAUUUUUUAAGUUUAUUUAUUUAUUCUGAGAGAGAGAGAGAGAGAGAGGAGGGAGACAAUCCCAAGCAGGCUCUGUGCUGUCAGUGCAGAGCUGGAUACGGGACUUGAACCCAUGAAACUCUGAGAUCAUGACCUGAGCUGAAAUCAAGAGUCUGAUGCUCAACUGACUGAGCCACCCAGGCGCCCCUAGGGUCAUUUUUGAGAAUUGGUUUAAUAAUGCCUGUCAGGCACUUAAGAGAGUGCCAGGCACGUAUGAAAUAUUCGAUGAAUGGUAAUUACUUCUGCUAUAAUAUCAAAAUUGAGGAACAGACUUGAACAGGGGAGGGAAAAGGCACCAAAGAAGAGUCGUACCCUCAAAACAGGUUUUCCCAAAGUCAACUUGAUCCAGGCAGUCUUAUCACCAGGGGAAAGGCUGUGUGUCAGAGCAAAGCCAAGGAAAGCAGCCAUGUGGACCAUGUUGAAAGGGGUCCUGUCCUCCACGCAAGGGCGUUUGCAUGGCAUCUGGCAUUUUCAGUCUGUCUCCUAGUCUCAUUAUUCCCCUCAUCCCACCCUUCCUUGGAAUUUCUAGCCUCCGGAUAAUUAGACACAGUGUCUCUUCUGUCUGGAAAACAUUCUGCUCAACUGGCCUGCUUUACUCUUCCUUGGCUUUCCGGUCUCGGCUUAGAUGCAACUUUCCCUGGGAAGCCCCCGCUAGGCUGGGUGGAGCCCCUCUCGCGUGUUUCCCCACAGCACCCGGACAGAGAACUUACCACCUUCCCUAUAAUCGCUUGCUCAUGUGUGUCUUCUCCACUAGGCUGUGAAUCCACUGAGAGCAGGAAGCCAACUUCUAGCACAGCAAACUGGGCGUUAAGAGCAACUCAGCAAGUUCUUAUUAUCUAAGCGAGUGAAUGAAUGACUUAUAGGCUGAGGUCUGAGGGCAGGGAAGUUGCUUUGGAUUUCUCCUUGCACUCCCACCUUAUGCGUCAAGGAACAACACAUAAGAUCGUGUUGCCGAGAGGAAAAAAAUGCUCAUCAGGAUGACACCACUAUUGUUCUCCUUUUCCCUUGUAGAAACGGUCCACAGAUUACUUAAAUGUCAAAACACAGAGGGCUCUUCCUAAACUGAAAAAUAAUGCACUUAGGAGCCAUCUCUGCUUACCAAAUGGACGGCUGACCAGGAUCUUGGGGCUUUAUCACAUGAAGAAAAACGUGUAUCUGAUUCAUUUGCUGGUGGACAUGUCUUCCAAAAUCAAUUUUUUUUUUCAACUGCGGCAUUAAAUCGCUGUGAAAGGGAAACUGAUUUGGGUUUCUUCUCAGCUGGAUUCUGUGCUAUUUUGGAAACAGAGAGUCUCGAUUACUUUCCCGAACAUCGGGACUUUUCCAAUUUAGCUCGUGACCUCGUCUUCAUCAGUGGUUGACAUAGGAUAACCGUAUAUUUAUCAUUCAAACCGAG